This 253-nucleotide ribosomal RNA is filed under the name uncultured bacterium. Its description in RNAcentral is "partial 16S ribosomal RNA". It matches the Rfam family "Bacterial small subunit ribosomal RNA", at positions 524 to 776 of the family's 1533-position model. The record is from RNAcentral.
UACGUAUGGGGCAAGCGUUAUCCGGAUUUACUGGGUGUAAAGGGAGCGUAGGCGGCCUGGCAAGCCUGAUGUGGAAUACCGGGGCCCAACCCCGGGGCUGCAUUGGGAACUGCCAGGCUGGAGUGCCGGAGAGGCAGGCGGAAUUCCUAGUGUAGCGGUGAAAUGCGUAGAUAUUAGGAGGAACACCAGUGGCGAAGGCGGCCUGCUGGACGGUGACUGACGCUGAGGCUCGAAAGCGUGGGGAGCAAACAGG